Molecule: ribosomal RNA, 460 nt
Filed under: uncultured bacterium
Lineage: Bacteria
Description: partial 16S ribosomal RNA
Rfam family: Bacterial small subunit ribosomal RNA
Source: RNAcentral
CCUACGGGGGGCAGCAGUGAGGAAUAUUGGUCAAUGGACGAGAGUCUGAACCAGCCAAGUAGCGUGAAGGAUGACUGCCCUAUGGGUUGUAAACUUCUUUUAUAUGGGAAUAAAAUGUUCCACGUGUGGGAUUUUGUAUGUACCAUAUGAAUAAGGAUCGGCUAACUCCGUGCCAGCAGCCGCGGUAAUACGGAGGAUCCGAGCGUUAUCCGGAUUUAUUGGGUUUAAAGGGAGCGUAGGUGGAUUGUUAAGUCAGUUGUGAAAGUUUGCGGCUCAACCGUAAAAUUGCAGUUGAAACUGGCAGUCUUGAGUACAGUAGAGGUGGGUGGAAUUCGUGGUGUAGCGGUGAAAUGCUUAGAUAUCACGAAGAACUCCGAUUGCGAAGGCAGUUCACUGGACUGCAACUGACACUGGGGCUCGAAAGUGUGGGUAUCAAACAGGAUUAGAUACCCUGGUAGUC